CUAUCAACUCCGCCUGUAGCUGUUGUAGAUUUACUGCCGGUCCCAAGCCCGGGUAAAGGAGGAGGGUUGG
This 70-nucleotide non-coding RNA is filed under the name Schistosoma margrebowiei. Lineage: Eukaryota; Metazoa; Platyhelminthes; Trematoda; Strigeidida; Schistosomatidae. The record is from RNAcentral.